This 492-nucleotide ribosomal RNA is filed under the name uncultured bacterium. RNAcentral describes it as "bacterial SSU rRNA". It matches the Rfam family "Bacterial small subunit ribosomal RNA", at positions 28 to 507 of the family's 1533-position model. The record is from RNAcentral.
GAUGAACGCUAGCUACAGGCUUAACACAUGCAAGUCGAGGGGAAACGACAUCGAAAGCUUGCUUUUGAUGGGCGUCGACCGGCGCACGGGUGAGUAACGCGUAUCCAACCUGCCCACCACUUGGGGAUAACCUUGCGAAAGUAAGACUAAUACCCAAUGAUAUCUCUAGACGACAUCUGAAAGGGAUUAAAGAUUUAUCGGUGAUGGAUGGGGAUGCGUCUGAUUAGCUUGUUGGCGGGGUAACGGCCCACCAAGGCAACGAUCAGUAGGGGUUCUGAGAGGAAGGUCCCCCACAUUGGAACUGAGACACGGUCCAAACUCCUACGGGAGGCAGCAGUGAGGAAUAUUGGUCAAUGGGCGAGAGCCUGAACCAGCCAAGUAGCGUGCAGGAUGACGGCCCUAUGGGUUGUAAACUGCUUUUAUAAGGGAAUAAAGUGGGUCACGUGUGACUUUUUGCAUGUACCUUAUGAAUAAGGACCGGCUAAUUCCGUG